This 222-nucleotide ribosomal RNA is filed under the name Staphylococcus aureus. RNAcentral describes it as "partial 23S ribosomal RNA". It matches the Rfam family "Bacterial large subunit ribosomal RNA", at positions 2704 to 2925 of the family's 2925-position model. The record is from RNAcentral. Lineage: Bacteria; Bacillati; Bacillota; Bacilli; Caryophanales; Staphylococcaceae.
UACCUCUGGUGUACCAGUUGUCGUGCCAACGGCAUAGCUGGGUAGCUAUGUGUGGACGGGAUAAGUGCUGAAAGCAUCUAAGCAUGAAGCCCCCCUCAAGAUGAGAUUUCCCAACUUCGGUUAUAAGAUCCCUCAAAGAUGAUGAGGUUAAUAGGUUCGAGGUGGAAGUAUGGUGACAUCUGGAGCUGACGAAUACUAAUCGAUCGAAGACUUAAUCAAAUU